GUUGUGUGCCGUAUUUUUUGCCAGUUCGCGUGCUGCUGCUUGCUGCUGCUGCUCUUAUAAGCUCUGUUGCCGAGUGGUCCGUACGCCGGAAAUACAGAGUACUGUUUAAAGGGAGGAAUAUCGUACGUGUUGUUUGUUAAAUAAUUUUUUAAACACCGCUUGAAUACGGUAACUGAGCGGGGCAGGGUGAAAAAAAAAAGAAAAAAAAAAAAAAAAAAAAAAUUAAAUAAAUAACUGAAUAAAAUAAAUAUACCGCGGAAAGAGUAAGAAAAUGAAAUACUUAGGAGCGCAAAAAAUAAGAACGAAGAGAGGUCUGGGCUACCGACGACGAGGGCACUGAUCUCUCAGGGAGCGGCGACCUGCGAACCAACCAUAGAUAUAGGAUAUCCUCUCCUCGAUCGCUACGCAGACUGGCGAUUCCGCUGGCUCUCUGGCUCUCUGCAGGCUGGAGUCUGGGACAAGGAUUCUUCUCUUCUCUUCUCUUCUCUUCUCUACUCUACUCUUCACAAUCGCAAAUCGCAAUCAGAUAUACAUAUAUAUAUACAUAUAUAUACAUUUAUAUAUAUAUAUAUAUAUAGAGACACACGCAUGGUAUAUAAACGGCGUACAUACUGCAUCGUCAACUUACGCUGUCACCUCAACGGUCUUCGAACAGAGAUCAUCGGCGUUUUUCUAAAGAGGGUUCACCGCACGCCGAGCAGAUAUCUACUCUCAAUGGUGCACGCGUACGUGCCAUAUUAUGUAUAAGAAAUUACAUAGACCUGUGUGUACAUGUGAAUAUGGACGAUGUGGAAUUGGGGGACGAAAAAAAGCCCGCGACAGCGAGAAUAUUUUAUCUUCUUCUUCUUCUUCUUCUUAGAGAACUAUAAGUGAGAAGAGCUUAAAAAUUUUGACGAGUUACAUAGCUGCAGAAAAAUACUGCCAAUGUUCAACACGCACUAUCUCAGCUGCAGUUACUUGAUGACACUAACCCGUAGAUCCGAACUUGUGGGCUAUUUUAUUUGCACACCGCAAGCUCCUAUCUACCGGUACAUGUAGUCAGGCCGUCGAUUUGGUUGUUAUAUACGCAACUUGCAGUUAUGCGCCUGCAAAAUAUCGAACCGAGGACAACGAAAUUUUUGUGCGGACCGUCGACGACGACCUCGUGAAUUUCCACUCACCUCUAUCCUACGUUGGAUGCGCCCCAUAUUUAUGUCAACGAAUUUUUUAUGGUCUUUUUUUCGUUUGGUUUAAAAAUUUGUUAAUUCGUUUUUUUUUUUAUUCUUUUCGUUUUUCCAAAUUUGGCGUUGUACAUUCGCCGAUGCGACGCAGUUUCUUUUUGUGACAAAAAAAAAAAUAAAAAAAAAAAAAAAUUCAUUCCACUGAUAUUUGGAGAUUAAUUGAAACGGAACAAUAAGAAAGAGUAAGAAAACGAAAAAAUUUAAUUCAAAAUGUAGCGAUGGAAUGAAAUUUGAGUUUUCUUGCGGCGGCGCCUGGGUGAGGUAGUAGGUUGUAUAGUAGGGAAUGAAAAUUCGAGAAUACGAAGUCCACUGUACAGCUUGCUAACUUUCCCGGUCGCCGGCGCCCCGACGCUGGACCAUGGCUGAACCCAUCGUUAAAUUCGUGCUCCGGAGAUCAGCGGCAACGCGCGGGAAACGGCGAGGAAAGGGAGAGAAAGGAGGUGCGGUCAACUAGGAACGG
This 1680-nucleotide unclassified non-coding RNA is filed under the name Athalia rosae (coleseed sawfly). RNAcentral's name for it is "misc RNA ENSAEAG00005003096.1". The stretch from base 1472 to 1554 matches the Rfam family "let-7 microRNA precursor family". Lineage: Eukaryota; Metazoa; Arthropoda; Insecta; Hymenoptera; Athaliidae. The record is from RNAcentral.